ACGACUGCUGCAAAACCGACGCUGAACACGAUUUUCGCUUUUCGCCUUUUGUCGUAAAAAUGAAACUCCCCUUCGGGUUUCUUAACAUUACGGAAAACGGGUACUAACACAGGUCCUUCCUAAAAGCGAAGUGGCAUAGCGGGAACUUUCGAAAAGCGGAGGAUACGUGUAAUUGCUCUCCUUUUUGGCUGCCUAAUAUUCACCACCCCCCAGCACGCACACACACAUAUAUUGUGUGUGUGUGUGUGUGUGUGUGUGUGUGUGUGUGUGUGUGUGUGACAACAGUUCCUAAUGUCCUUAUGAGGAAUUACCUAUUUCCAAUAGCAAGUGGUUUUAUUGGAACUGUCAAUGCAGUUGCCAGGGAGUGAGCCCAUAACGCCAAGGUAGGCCAGCUGAACUCAGGACUUUGAACUUGAUCAGAAAUGGAACAAAAUAUAAAACACCAGAAAAAGCAUACCCGCAUUCGUUCCAUCAUCAUCUCCUAGUGAGGCCGUUGAAACAUUCCUGCUUCCAGACCCUUGGUGCCCUGAAUAUCUGUCCUUUGAUGAGCCUGUUCUCCAGUCCUUCCCAUCGAUUCUGUCCCCAGAGUUGUAGCCAUGAACAAAUAACACAGUUCUGGGGCGGGGCACGCAGCCCACUUUACAGCAGGAGAGACAGACUCCCAGCCAAGAGUCGAGAGGUUCCCUUCUUCCUGCUACUCGGUGACAAGCAAAUGCAGGCCACCCCUUGGGAAGGAACCUGGGCAUGAUAUCAAGGUGGAGAAGUGUUGUUAUCCUAAUGAUGUUGAGCAACUGCAAAAGCAAUAUUGAUGUAUUUGAUAAAGGCUGAAAUUCCGAGCCAUCACAUGGAGAAGAGCUUCUUCAGCAGGUUUCCCAGACCUACAGUGGAUUUUACAGAACACUGUACCGGCAACCAAAGGAGCGUCACUCGGUCCCAGAAGAAUGAGAAAAUGAAGUUUGUACAAGGCCUGGGGCAGAGCAGGAAAGCAACAUGGUUUCUAAGCACAGUUCCAAGCCUGAGGAGAAUCUCGAUUUAUGGACUCAUGACAAUGGCUUCUCUGCUUACAAUUAAGAUUCUGAUCAUAUAACAUCGUCUCAGCGUCUCGAAGGGAGAGGUGCCGCUGCUGGCUUGACAAAGGGAGCUGCCCAGGCAGCAAGGAAGUGCAGACCUCCAGGAAUUGGAAGCAGGCCCAGUGACCGCCAGCGAGAAAAUAGGGACCUCGGUCCCACAGCUGCCAAGACUUGAAUUCUGCCCACUACCAAAUGUCCUAGAAGAGGCCGACAGCUUGCCUGCAGCCUUGUGGAACCUGGAACCAAGGACCCAGUGAAGCCAUAUUCGGACUCCUGCCCCUCAGAAACUCUGAGAUAAUAAAUGUAGGUUGUCCUAA
Felis catus (domestic cat) is the source of this 1387-nucleotide long non-coding RNA. RefSeq lists it as uncharacterized. The transcript is spliced from 6 exons. NCBI's taxonomy places the organism in Eukaryota, Metazoa, Chordata, Mammalia, Carnivora, Felidae. The record is from RefSeq and is a predicted model, not a curated record.